CAUAUGCAGUGUCCCCACAGGAAGUUAUGAGUCUUAUAAGUUUCCUAUGCUUCCUCUCUAAUGGACGGUAAACACUCAGGAAAGCAUGGUUAUUUCUCAGGGUUGGAAAGAACAAGAGCAGAGGAACAUUUAAGCUGGACCUUGAAGGGUGUGUCAACAGACAGAAAGUUUCUCCAGCUGUCCUUCCGGACCUGUUUCCAGACAUGUCAUCAUCCUGGCUGGUCAUAUGCCUUUUCAGAGUUUUGCUCUUGUUGCCCAGGCUGGAGUACAGUGGCACCAUCUCGGCUCACCGCAUACUUUGCCUCCCGGGUUCAAGCAAUUCUCCUGCCUCAGCCUCCCAAAUAGCUGGGAUUGCAGGCAUGUGCCACCACGCCCAGAUGGAGUUUCAGCUCUUGUUGCCCAGGCUGGAGUGCAAUGGUGUGAUCUCAGCUCACUGCAACCUCUGCCUCCCAGGUUCAAGCAAUUCUCCUGCCUCAGCCUCCCCAGUUGCUGGGAUUACAGAGAUGAAGUUUUGCCAUGUUGCCCAGGCUGGUCUUGAACUUCUGGACUCAAGCAAUCCUCCCACCUUGGUUUCCCAAAGUGCUGCGGUUACAGACAUCAGCCACCACGCCUGGCCUCUGGAUGUUUUCAUCAAGAUGUUGUCUUGUCCAAAGAUUGAGAGGCCCAAGUAAGAACUCGGUUUAGGAAUGGAAUUGGAAGAAGCAACAUUUUUGGCUAGGAGGGGUGGGCACAAGGAUGACUAGAUAUUAGAGACUGGAAAAGAGAAUGGGAUAGACAUAAGGAGCCUUAAAUUGGUGGCUACCUGGGGCAAACGGAAAAAGGA
Molecule: long non-coding RNA, 823 nt
Organism: Pongo pygmaeus (Bornean orangutan)
Lineage: Eukaryota; Metazoa; Chordata; Mammalia; Primates; Hominidae
Exons: 5
Source: RefSeq, a predicted model, not a curated record